CUUUUCUUUCACCCUGAAGGCUGAGUUCAGCGCCUGGCAGGGCCGUCGAUCCCCCCAUGCAAGUUGCCCUAGCGUCUGGCAGGGUAGCUAUUAUGUUUCCUCCACAGCGAUAGAAGGUCAGCUCAGUCACAGUGGCACUGGGGACACAUGUCGUCUCCCACUGAAGCUCCUCGGUGGCAGAUGACUGCAGUGUCAGGUGUUAUGGAGGAGACACAUGGCUGUCUGCAGUCCAAAUCCUGCUCCACACUACAGGGAGCAGUGACUGACGGCUACUGACCAUUACGUCUGUCUUUCCAGUGGACAAAGGUUUAUUAGGAGAAGGAGACGAGGGAACCAGGAGAUGAGCAACGAGACAAUCAAUCUGGACCAAGAGCCGGCAUUCCAAGCAGCCCGGACCUAAGCUGUCAAACCGAUCGAAGGAAGCACAGCUGCACAAUUACGUUCAGUGCAGCUGUGGAGGUUGGAGAACUGUGACAACAGAGACCAUAGGACCACCUGGAGAGAAGUUGUCACCUGUGUCUAUGGAGGCUCAAUGCAAUAACAUCCUGCAGCUCUUCGCUCUCUCCAGCCUCUGGUCCAGACAGAGGGGAGCCUCCCAGUCCUAAUCACAUAGAGGAAGUGUCUUUAUCACUGCUUUCUCUGUGCUGCUGGGUUUGGGAGACUCUUCACAUAACCAGUGGUGUUGGCCUCCAUCUGUAAACAGAAGACGGUCAAGACAAGUGGUUGUCAUAAAUAUUGUGUUUAUAUAUAUAUAUGUAUAUAAUGUAAUUAAGAAAAUAAAAGAACUGCUUUGUCUGAAGAUGCUGUAGAUUAUUUCUUUGUGUUCUACAGUGUAUACCUACUUACCGUUUAGUACUGUAAAUCUGAGCGCUGUGGUGAAAACUACAGAGUGUUACCUUCAUAAAGAGCCCAAACCUUUAGAUAUACUGCUAAUGGUUGAAGAACAGCUUUCGUUUGAAUUUAGGUAUGUUUCCCAGGCGUUUGAGCUGAAAAUGCCUAGAAAUUGCCAUAAUAAUGCAUACUCCAACUCAGAAGGUGGCGGUAAUGCACCACCCAGUUUGCCAAGUGUCAAAUACCCAAAGAAAAAAGACGAAGAAGAAGUCUCGAGAUCUGAUUGGUUAUCGUAACUGUCCGUUCGUGUACAGCGCACAGGAGCCUGUUUUUGUUGGUUCUGAACGCCUCAGGCAGUCCUCAAUGGUCCUAGCAACACAAGCCUGCUGAGAUAUGAUUAGAUAAAGACUUUACAAUAAUAUACAACACUGGAAGCGGCGAAAUCAAGCGGAAAUAAUGAGACGAAGAAAAUACACCAUGGGGAAUUAUUUUAUUUACAAAAAACAACUUUUCACAGUAUGUUGGGGCUAGCAGAAAAGUUAGCUGCCCCUGGCAACCGUAGUGUCAGUAGUGAAGGACUUCCUCGCUGUCUCCAACGUCUGCGUCUCUCCUGCGUUUUCACGCACGUCCGUGCAUGUGCAUAAAUGCCAUGGAAACCGCUGACGCGGAAUGGGUCGUCAUUUGCCCCAGGGCCUUGUGAAGCUCUGGAGUCGCUUCAAGCGUUGGAGAAACCGGAGGAUCCAGCCGGAGCAGCCGGUGGGCGAAGGUGGUCCAGAUGGGC
Long non-coding RNA from Betta splendens (Siamese fighting fish), 1612 nucleotides. RefSeq lists it as uncharacterized. The record is from RefSeq and is a predicted model, not a curated record. The transcript is spliced from 7 exons. NCBI's taxonomy places the organism in Eukaryota, Metazoa, Chordata, Actinopteri, Anabantiformes, Osphronemidae.